Molecule: long non-coding RNA, 2121 nt
Filed under: Amphibalanus amphitrite
Lineage: Eukaryota; Metazoa; Arthropoda; Thecostraca; Balanomorpha; Balanidae
Description: uncharacterized LOC122385526, transcript variant X2
Source: RNAcentral
UCCAGGUAAGCAUGUUUUAUUGCAGUUUCGGUGUCAUAAGAUAUAUUUUUUGGGUCUAGAAUGUGAGAUCUUCCUUGCUGCCAAAAGUCACACUGUAACAAUCAAUGGAAUAUUACUAAGAAAUAAAACCGAGUCGGCAUCUAUUUAUACUUCAGUAAUAUACAAAAUUAAAUUUUCUAUCUGCUGGUGUAAGGUUUCAUACAAAAUAAAUUGGGGCUCAGUACGAAAUUCGAUGUUGAAAACUGCAGACCAUGAUUAUCACCUGGAGCUGCGCACAGUUUACUGUACUGCUAUCGCUAGCGAACGCCAGCGCUCUCAUUUAAUUGGUUUAACGGCGUGUACGUUGCUGUCGGAGAACAUCCCUGAUUUUCGAAUUUGUUUGUUUUGAUUAGGCCGAUUAGGCACAUUGGAAUUCGGUUAAAAUUCAAUUUAAAAUUGUGUAGCUUGUUGAUGGUAGAAGUUGUGAAGCGCAUAACAUAAAAGAGUUGUGUAGAGAUUGUAUGGGGUGUUGGCGUUUUUGUAGUUUCCUUUUUCUGGUGCUCUUUAGUCUUUUGAGAUCUUUGCAUGGGUUGGAAUGGAAAUUUGCAAUGCCACCACAACCAGGAAACUGAAACAGUGUUUUUUUUUCAUGCCACAAUUAUGGGCAACACGGCAGGGCAAAGUUUGCCUCAAGUCCUGGCUCAUUCAUAGCCUUGAUUUGCAUUCAAGAAAGCAAGUCUGUGCCCAAAUGGAUGCUGCACAUUUUUAUAUUCUUCAAAGCAAUCGAGGUUCAUUUGCCGAGGCUGCAUGGAGUAUGCGAAGCAAAGCAGUGUCAUGCUGAUGCGGAGAUGACGACGUUGUAUCUGGCGGUGGUUCUGGAGACAGCGCGGUUCGAUCCAGCUGUGGGCCAGACGUCACCCAGCAGAAAUGGCAGCGUGUUAUCACCAGCUACGAGGCGCGCAUACGGACAUUGUCCAGAAACAAUCACGUCAUCUCCAGGCAGUCAGCUGAGUCAGAUCCAGGACCAGCUCCGGAGCCUGAACCUGUCAUUGAAGGCCGGCAGGCACCACCUAUCCUUCACUGUACAAUCCUUUGGUGUUACAAGUUACAACCAGAUUAAUUGCUUUAUGCUCCACUCAGUCUGCUGUUUGACCAUAAUGGGCUGUUUGAAUGGCAUGGCAUAUUGUGUCAUAAGGAAAAAAUAUAGUAUUGCAGUUAAAGGCCUACUUGCAUGACUAUGUUUCCAGUGAAUGCUCUGAAUAUUUCUUGGUGAGUUAAAUAGAUUACCUUAGGGAUAUUCAGCAUAGGACUUGAAAAUAAUAUGGUCCCUAAUGAGUCAUUAACUCUUUACUGUGUUUCAGAGCGCCACGCGACCACGAUGGGACUGCCAACGGUGGCCUGCUCACCGACAGCUCCCCGCCAGCCGGCGGCGUUCCGCCAGCCAACGGGCUUCCGCCAGCCAACGGCGUUCUGCCCGCCGAUGGUGGCCCGACGACCGACGGUCGCUCGCCGGCCGAAGGUGAUCCGGUAGCCGAACGAGGCUCGCCGACCUACGCCGACCGACGCCGGCCCGCCCGCCGACGGCGCCCUGCCGGCCGACCGCGUCCCGCUCGCCGACGGCGUCGAUACGCCGGCGCGCGUAUUGACAUUGAUCAGAAACGAUCACAUUAUGUCCAGGUCAUUAGUCGCGGGCGCUCGAGCUGACGGUGUCGUCUGACGGCUCCACGGUGACCAGCGCCGCCUCCACCGAGAACAUCAGACUCCUGAAAUGCUAAUGGCCGUACACGAACAAGAGGCUCUAUGCAUCCAGGUGCAGGAUAAGCGCCAUGCUCAGAGGCGUCAUCUGGAGAAGGCCGCACAGUGCACUUAAGGCUGAGCUCGGGUGUAGUGCGCGCAGGCAGAUAUGAUCAACUGACGGGCCGGCCAUCAGAUUUCAGUACGGAACUCAAGAUGAUUGGAGCCGACGUGGUUCGGUUGAUGGUGUGUCAGGGUUGAUUGAGAGUGGAGGCGAGACACCCGGAUCUGUGAAACAUACGCCGAUACGGGUCUCGACGUCGUCUCGCAAUUUGUGCUAUGUAAUAUGACGGCUAUGCCGUGGUAUCAUUCACUCUCGCUGCGCUAAUAAAUAAUAAAUAGGACAGA